Molecule: ribosomal RNA, 572 nt
Filed under: uncultured bacterium
Lineage: Bacteria
Description: partial 16S ribosomal RNA
Rfam family: Bacterial small subunit ribosomal RNA
Source: RNAcentral
UGGGGAAUAUUGCACAAUGGGCGCAAGCCUGAUGCAGCCAUGCCGCGUGUGUGAAGAAGGCCUUCGGGUUGUAAAGCACUUUCAGCGAGGAGGAAGGUGGUGGACUUAAUACGUUCAUCAAUUGACGUUACUCGCAGAAGAAGCACCGGCUAACUCCGUGCCAGCAGCCGCAGUAAUACGGAGGGUGCAAGCGUUAAUCGGAAUUACUGGGCGUAAAAGCGCACGCAGGCGGUUUGUUAAGUCAGAUGUGAAAUCCCCGGGCUCAACCUGGGAACUGCAUUUGAAACUGGCAACCCCGCUAGAGUCUCGUAGAGGGGGGUAGAAUUCCAGGUGUAGCGGUGAAAUGCGUAGAGAUCUGGAGGAAUACCGGUGGCGAAGGCGGCCCCCUGGACGAAGACUGACGCUCAGGUGCGAAAGCGUGGGGAGCAAACAGGAUUAGAUACCCUGGUAGUCCACGCUGUAAAACGAUGUCGAUUUUGGAGGUUGUGCCCCUUGAGGCGUGGCUUCCGGAGCUAACGCGUUAAAUCGACCGCCUGGGGAGUACGGCCGCAAGGUUAAAACUUAAAGGAAUU